RNAcentral lists this ribosomal RNA (402 nucleotides) under uncultured bacterium. RNAcentral's name for it is "bacterial SSU rRNA". It matches the Rfam family "Bacterial small subunit ribosomal RNA", at positions 355 to 774 of the family's 1533-position model. The record is from RNAcentral.
UGGGGAAUAUUGGACAAUGGGCGCAAGCCUGAUCCAGCAAUGCCGCGUGAGUGAUGAAGGCCUUAGGGUUGUAAAGCUCUUUCGCACGCGACGAUGAUGACGGUAGCGUGAGAAGAAGCCCCGGCUAACUACGUGCCAGCAGCCGCGGUAAUACGUAGGGGGCAAGCGUUGUCCGGAUUUACUGGGUGUAAAGGGCGCGCAGGCGGGAUAAAAAGUCAGUGGUGAAAUCCUACAGCUUAACUGUAGAACUGCCUUUGAUACUUUUAUUCUUGAGUUCGGGAGAGAGUGACGGAAUUCCUGGUGUAGUGGUGAAAUACGUAGAUAUCUGGAAGAACACCAGUUGCGAAGGCGGUCUCUUGGUCCGACACUGACGCUGAGGCGCGAAAGCGUGGGGAGCAAACA